UUAAGUCCCCAUAACGAGCGCAACCCUUAUUGUUAGUUGCCAGCGGGUAAUGCCGGGAUCUCUAACGAAACUGCCGGUGUAAACCGGAGGAAGUGGGGAUGACGUCAAAUCAGCACGGCCCUUAUGUCCAGGGCUACACACGUGUUACAAUGGUAGAUACAAUGGGCAGCCACCUGGUGACAGGGAGCUAAUCCUAAAAGUCUAUCUCAGUUCGGAUCGAAGUCUGCAACCCGACUUCGUGAAGCUGGAUUCGCUAGUAAUCGCGGGUCAGCAGACCGCGGUGAAUACGUUCCCGGGUUUU
RNAcentral lists this ribosomal RNA (301 nucleotides) under uncultured Sphingobacteriales bacterium. Its description in RNAcentral is "bacterial SSU rRNA". It matches the Rfam family "Bacterial small subunit ribosomal RNA", at positions 1080 to 1382 of the family's 1533-position model. Lineage: Bacteria; Pseudomonadati; Bacteroidota; Sphingobacteriia; Sphingobacteriales. The record is from RNAcentral.